UACGUAGGGCGCAAGCGUUGUCCGGAAUUAUUGGGCGUAAAGAGCUCGUAGGCGGCUUGUCACGUCGGGUGUGAAAGCCCGGGGCUUAACCCCGGGUCUGCAUUCGAUACGGGCAGGCUAGAGUGUGGUAGGGGAGAUCGGAAUUCCUGGUGUAGCGGUGAAAUGCGCAGAUAUCGGGAGGAACACCGGUGGCGAAGGCGGUUCUCUGGGCCUGUACUGACGCUGAGGAGCGAAAGCGUGGGGAGCGAACAGG
RNAcentral lists this ribosomal RNA (253 nucleotides) under uncultured bacterium. RNAcentral describes it as "partial 16S ribosomal RNA". It matches the Rfam family "Bacterial small subunit ribosomal RNA", at positions 524 to 776 of the family's 1533-position model. The record is from RNAcentral.